Molecule: unclassified non-coding RNA, 246 nt
Filed under: Hevea brasiliensis (rubber tree)
Lineage: Eukaryota; Viridiplantae; Streptophyta; Magnoliopsida; Malpighiales; Euphorbiaceae
Source: RNAcentral
CUGCUGCUACUGCUGCUGCUGCUGUCGAGAACCGAGACUGGACUUGAGGUGUGAAAUUGGUUCGACGGCGACAAUGAGGAGGUGUUGAUGGUUAGGUUUCCGGCGCCGGAGAAGGAAUCGUCGACGAAAUUUGAGAGCCAUUCCAAUUGAACCAUGUCAUCGUAGGGAGCAGGGAGUUCAGCGGAGAGGCCAGAGUCACCGGUAUCGGCGGAAAACACCGGGUCGACGACGGCGGGUGGCAAGGAG